UACGUAGGUGGCAAGCGUUGUCCGGAUUUAUUGGGCGUAAAGCGAGCGCAGGCGGUUAGAUAAGUCUGAAGUUAAAGGCUGUGGCUUAACCAUAGUAUGCUUUGGAGACUGUUUAACUUGAGUGCAGAAGGGGAGAGUGGAAUUCCAUGUGUAGCGGUGAAACGCGUAGAUAUAUGGAGGAACACCGGUGGCGAAAGCGGCUCUCUGGUCUGUAACUGACGCUGAGGCUCGAAAGCGUGGGGAGCAAACAGGAUUAGAUACCCUGGUAGUCCACGCCGUAAACGAUGAGUGCUAGGUGUUAGGCCCUUUCCGGGGCUUAGUGCCGCAGCUAACGCAUUAAGCACUCCGCCUGGGGAGUACGACCGCAAGGUUGAAACUC
RNAcentral lists this ribosomal RNA (379 nucleotides) under uncultured Streptococcus sp. RNAcentral's name for it is "bacterial SSU rRNA". It matches the Rfam family "Bacterial small subunit ribosomal RNA", at positions 524 to 902 of the family's 1533-position model. Lineage: Bacteria; Bacillati; Bacillota; Bacilli; Lactobacillales; Streptococcaceae. The record is from RNAcentral.